GGAAUAGUAUAUAUGUCUGCAUCACUGUGUUCUGUAUGCACUGACAUGUGACCCUGACUCACAUCCUGUCACUGCUAUCCCUCAUUUCUUCACAGAUGAAAGAAUAUCAACUCAAUUUCAGGCAUUUUCCAAUGUACAAAUGUUGCUGAAGAACAGAAUUGAUGAAAGAAACAAAAGCAGAAAAGAAGACAGGAAAGCAGACGAUAUCCCUGAUGAAGUUCAUCGAGUUCGGUUGACUUUGACAAAACACGAUAACAUAAAUGCUGUAUAUAUUAAUGGAUAUAUGAAAACUAAUAGAUUCAUCGCAGCUCAUACCCCUUUACCGAAUUCUAUAGAAGACUUCGUAUCAAUGUUAUAUCAGGAAAGGUGCCCUUGUGUUGUUUGUCUCGAUGAGGAAAAUAUCAAAGAUAAGACGGUAGGGCAGUUUCUUCCACCAACCAACAAAGUUUCUAUAUUUGGUCAUUUUCAAGUGUCAUGUUUGAAGAGUGACUAGAGAGCAAAUUUUGUCAUCCGGAAGUUGAAAAUCUCGCAAACUGGAUCGCCGACAGAGGAGGAAUUGUAUAUCCGGCACUACCAGUUCAAAGGUUGGAGCAACGCUGAAAGUGUCCACUCUAGUGUCAAACCUUUCUUGAAUCUUAUUUUAGAAAUUGAAAACAGUAUAAAACGCCAUAACUCCAAACAACCCGUCAUAGUGCAUUGUUUGGAUGGAACAAGAAGAUGUAGCCUUUUCUGUGUAGUUUCCAUACUUAUCGAGAAGUUUGCUACCAUGGAAGAACUAAGCGUCCUUAAUACAAUAUGUCAAGUUUGCUCGAGACAGCCGUCCUCAUUUCAAAACAUCGAACAUUUCCAGUUCUGCUACGACUGCGUCACUGAGCUGUUGAAGAUGUAUGACCGGAAUACCUACUGCAAUAUCAACAACGUGUAAACAAGUCAGACAAAUGGUAGACAGAUACACUCUGCUUUGAAGCCUUUCAUGAAUUGUCUAUGUGGAUUUAAUAAUUAUUUCGAUGCACAACAUACAAUAAUCUUUAAUGGUGCCAAUGCCUUUUGAUGUAAUAGCCAUUUGCUUGUUGUCCUUUGUUUUCCAAUGCGAGUAAUGGUUUAUCGUAAACGAAAAUGAGAUAGGAAACCUGCUCGCGGACUUGCAGUAGACAGAUGCAUUAAAUGAUGCUUCCUUAACUUAAAGUUAUGCAGAAAAUGAUUGUUUCCUUGAACGUUUCCCUUCCCUGACUAAGAGAUAAUGUAAACGAUCGUUUCCCUCCCCUGUCAUGUGAUAGUGCACAACUUCACAUGGUGAAUGAUAUUUCUGUAAUGUUUCAUGAUCCUAGGUUAAAUACGUUUUGAGAUACAUGCGACACAAACUUAAAUACAAUUUUAUGCAAACGUUAAUACUAAGUGAAGGGUCAUAAUUCUGGUAUGUCUGAAUGAAAUUUCUAACAAAGCCCAAGAUGAUCAACUUCACAUGCUAAAUAAUAGUUCUGUAAUGUCAUAGUUUUAGGUCAAAUACUUCUUGUGAUGCAUGCGACGCCAAAUCUGAGGCCCUUUGUAUGCAUAUUUUACUAAGCGAAUGGCCAUAACACUGGUUUAGUUGUGAGAAAUCCUGAUUAUAACACCAGGUUUACAAUAGAAGCUGUACUUUGUAUUGUGACUUUAUUGGCCCAAAAAGAUUAAUUCUUUGGUACAUGCCAAAGACAUUUGCGCUUUUUAAGGUAUCUGAUCCACAAAUAGGUAAACUUUCUAUGCCUGGUGACCCCAUAUUCACUGCGAAAUGAUAUAUUUUACACUGCAAUAACUGGAUUUCUGUUGGAGUAUAAUUGAAGGAUAUAAAGUAAAAAAAUAUUCUUUUACAUAUUUUGUCAUGUAAUAUAUAAUUUCUUUUUCAGUAGGUAAUACUUUUUCAAAUAAUACAUAAAUUAUUUGACCUUACUAAGCGUCAAUAUAUGAACUAUUUCAGUAGCACUGUUAUAUAGAACUUGCUUAUUUGUGGAUCGGAUACCUUAAACAGUCUGGUGUACACCAGGUGUCAUAUACCUGUUUUGUAUUUAUAUGCCUGUAUGUUUGUGUUGUUUUUAAUACAUCUUACUUGUAUGUCAUGUACGUACUAACAUUGUAAAUGAAAUGUAACAAGGCAGUCUGAAAUACAGCUAGAUCCCCCACAACUGCUAUGGAUAGUGAAAGGGUAAACAUUUGACCUUUAGCUGUGACCUUGACCUUGAACUGACAUGGCUGACUCAUGAAUUCUGCACAACGUCUUGUUGAGGUGAUCAUUUGACCCAAGUUUCAUGAAAAUCGUCCAAGGGGUUUAGGAGAUACAGAGCUCAAACCUUUGACCUUGAGUUGUGACCUUGACCUUGAGUUGACAUGGCUGACUCAUGAGUUCUUGAUGAGGUGAUCAUUUGACACAAGUUUGAUGAAAAUCCUUCAAGGGGUUUAGGAGAUACAGAGUGGACACAAAAUGGAAGGCUAAAAAAUUUGACCCUAAGUUAUGACCUUGACCUUAAGCCGGCAUGGCUGACUCAUGGGUUCUGCACAUCGUCAUGAUGAGGUGAUCAUUUGACCCAAGUUUUAUAAAAUUCCUUCAAGGGGUUUUGGAGAUAUAGAGCGGACACAAAAUGGAAGGCUCAAAUAUUUGACCUUGAGUUGUGAUCUUGACCUUGAGCCGACAAAGCUGACUCAUGGGUUCUGCACAUUGUCUUGAUGAGGUGAUCAUUUGACCUAAGUUUCAUGAAAAUCCUUCAAGGGAUUUAGGAGAUAUCGAGCGGACACGAAAGUGUUACGAACGGACGGAAAGACGGACGGACGGACGGACGGAAGGACGGACGGAGACCAUUCCUACAACCCCCACCACUUGUGGCGGGGGAUUAAAAAUGUGUUGUCUUUUGUUGUUUCCCUUAAUAAUGGAACACUCAUGUUUGAGCUACGUGCCAUAGCACCGCCCUUUAAAUGCACCAAGAUAAAAUAUAUCAAAUAAUCGGGAGGUAAAUAGUAAUUUUAUACCAAAAUAACUAUCUUCUGCGGUUAAAAUUGUGAUGAUAUGUUUAGGUGUGCCGUUAUUUGUCAACAUUUACUAUAGACACGUGCCAGAUUGAUAAAGGCACGCGCCUAUUACACUACAUACCUUAUGAAUUUAACACUGUUGAACAAAAAAAAUUGACUGCUCCCCACCUUAUAACCUGUAUAGAUGUUAUCUCGAUGGUGUGUAUAAUUUGAUAUUGGCAAAACGGAUAUCAAUGUCUAAGAUUUAGAUAAAUGUUGAAAUAUGAAACGUAAGCUCACGAUAAAAUGUAAAGAUAUACAUAUUUAAACGUUUUGAUUGUGAAUGUAUUAGACUAGCCACUAUGAUUUUUUCUUUUUUUAUGUUCAUAGAGACAAAAGUCAGUCUAUUCUAGAAAUUUUCUAAGACGACUGUUGUUAAAAUUAUCAUAUGAUAUUGGACAUAUGAUAUAGACUAGCUCAGUUCACUACAUUAUAUUAUAAAAAUGUAAAAAGAUUUAUAUCAUAGUCUAGGAGCUAGUCUAUGAAUGUAUAAUUAUGUGAAGUUGUGGUACUAAAUAAAACUCUUUUUUUUUCUUGAGAUACUUCAAGGAACACAUUCUUCUGUACACAGUGCCUAAUAAUCUAUAUAAUUAUGUCUUCUGGUACGCUAAAGAAAACAAUAGGAAGCUUUUGCUUUGAGCUUAUCGCUGUUUUUCAGUAGCAUUUCAGUUAUGUGACGGCGGGCAGGCAGUUAACCUAACCAGUUUUCAUGAUUCUGAACGAGUACUAACCUGGUCUCUGCAAGUAACUGCCAACUUUUCCACGUGAGCCAGAGGUGAACGACGAAUGAUGUCAGAUACAAUGUAUUUUAUCAAUCAUCAUGCAGAUAAAAAAAAUCGCCUCACCCGAAAUGCAAUAAAUCAACAUGAAAUAAAAAUCAAAAAUACUUGUCAAAACAAUUGCGAACAAAAACAAUAUUAUGUAAAUUUAUAUUAUUGGACGUUUUGGACUUAAACUACAUUAAUCUUAGUUCGACUCCCAAAAUCAGUAGUGUAAGCCUAUAUUUGUAUUGUUUUUUUUUCUUGUUUUUUUUUUAUCUGAAAAAACUACAAAAUAAAUCAUGUAAGUUAAUUUAAUCCUGAUAAGAUUUGUCAUUUCUGAUAGAAAAUAAACGCACAUACUAAUGUUUAAGUACAUAUUGCCGUUGAAUACAUAUACGGAUGUCUUGUAUUUUGGUUGUUUUAACAUGUGCAAAUGUUGAGUUCUGCUCAACCCAAGGCUAGAAGACGGGGACAGUAGAAUGCGUUUCCAAUACUGCCAAUCAAGCGGAGCCUGUGACAUUUUCACUUUUGUUCUUCCGAGCGAUCUGUGCAGUUUUCCUUUUUUGUUUUAUAUGAUUUAUAAUGUUAUUUGUUGUUCUUUUAUAUUUUAAAGCAAAAUCCGGUCAUCAACCUCAGUAGUAAAAUCUAAAGCUACUGCCGCUUAUAUACGGAAUCAAAGCGCUAAAAGCGUUGAUUUUGGCUGCUAAUCAAUGUGUAAAAUAUUGGAAAGAAAGUGACAUCUGAGGAAUUCUUAAGGACACGUCACGGCUGAGAUAGUUUAGCAUUAUUACAAUACACAGUCGGUAUUGAAAUUGUGUUUCCAAUACAUGUGCUCAUUAGAUAAAUCCUCAAUAUCUAUGUGAAAAUAAGGGAUGUGUUUUGUAUGAUUGCAACACUGUGAGUUGCUCUAAUUACUGACAAAUGACUGAAACAAUAGGAAUUCGUACGAGACAUGGAUAGACAAAAUGACAGUAUAUAUAUUCUUAUAUAGUUUUAAUGUAUGAGUUGUAAGCUACAAUAUAGAAUACCCAUUUUAUGAAAAUCAAACUCGAAGUUAAUAAUAACUGAAAAAAAUUAAUUAGGUCAUGAGUCAUCAUAUACCUGUCAAAAGUUGUCAUUAAUUUUCACGAGCUGUCAAAAUUAUUUUUAUCUCUCUAUUCUACAAAUGCAUUGUUUUUGAAAGUAUCUUGUUCGGAUAUUGUAGUGUUUAACUUACUUUAAAUUCCACAUUAAUAUUUGUGCUUGAAAUUGCUUUGUUGAGCUCACCGAAGUCACAUAUGAAUGUCUGUUGUUUUAGUUAAUUGUCUGUUAUAAAGGUACCAAUUCUCAAUAUCAAGAUAUAAGAAUUGUUCCUUUCUGGUAGACAAAGGAAACUAUUUGGUUGAAUCAUAAUAUAAAGGUUUAUGAAAAGAACUGAAUAUUUUUUGUUUUUAUUUGUUUUUUUUUUGUUUUUUUUUUGUUAUUCACCGGAAAUUCAAAAUGUGACAUCACCUUAAUAUAAACCAGAAAAAAACGUUUUUUUUGCAAAAUAUCAGCUAUUGUUUUGAAAUUAAUCCUUUUUCACAGCCAGUCAUUGUUUACAGACAAACUGAUUCAGUCUUGGUCCUUUUUGAUUAUUUGUGACGAAAAAAAACAAAGACAAAUAUCAAACAGGGAAUGCCGAAAACUACAAGAUAAGUUACAACGACGGUGUUUUUACUAUUAUAAAUAAAUAAUAUAUAUAAUUUCUUUCGUUUGAGCAGACGAAUUAGAAAGAAAUUAUUUUUCCUUAAAGCAAUUAAAGUCUCCGCUAGGGGUAGCUAUAUCGCUAUAUAUGUUUCUCACGAAGUUAUCGUGCGUAUCAAGAACUGAUUGUUAGUUAGUUUAGCUUUGGGUUUCUGACAAAUCACUACACGGAAAAAGUUUUAAUUUUUUUGAAUAUUUAAUGUUAUUACUGGUUAGACGGAAACAAA
This is a long non-coding RNA of Mercenaria mercenaria, 5749 nucleotides long. RefSeq lists it as uncharacterized. The transcript has 8 exons. The record is from RefSeq and is a predicted model, not a curated record. NCBI's taxonomy places the organism in Eukaryota, Metazoa, Mollusca, Bivalvia, Venerida, Veneridae.